This 493-nucleotide ribosomal RNA is filed under the name uncultured bacterium. RNAcentral describes it as "partial 16S ribosomal RNA". It matches the Rfam family "Bacterial small subunit ribosomal RNA", at positions 30 to 523 of the family's 1533-position model. The record is from RNAcentral.
AUUGAACGCUGGCGGCAUGCCUUACACAUGCAAGUCGAACGGUAACAGGUUAAGCUGACGAGUGGCGAACGGGUGAGUAAUAUAUCGGAACGUGCCCAGUCGUGGGGGAUAACGUAGCGAAAGCUACGCUAAUACCGCAUACGAUCUACGGAUGAAAGCGGGGGAUCGCAAGACCUCGCGCGAUUGGAGCGGCCGAUAUCAGAUUAGGUUGUUGGUGAGGUAAAAGCUCACCAAGCCUGGGAUCUGUAGCUGGUCUGAGAGGGCGACCAGCCACACUGGAACUGAGACACGGUCCAGACUCCUACGGGAGGCAGCAGUGGGGAAUUUUGGACAAUGGACGCAAGUCUGAUCCAGCAAUGCCGCGUGCAGGACGAAGGCCUUCGGGUUGUAAACUGCUUUUGUACAGAACGAAAAGGUUUCUACUAAUACUAGGAGCUCAUGACGGUACUGUAAGAAUAAGCACCGGCUAACUACGUGCCAGCAGCCGCAGUAA